Molecule: transfer RNA, 68 nt
Filed under: Thallomys paedulcus (Acacia rat)
Lineage: Eukaryota; Metazoa; Chordata; Mammalia; Rodentia; Muridae
Description: tRNA-Val
Rfam family: tRNA
About the family: Transfer RNA (tRNA) molecules are approximately 80 nucleotides in length. Their secondary structure includes four short double-helical elements and three loops (D, anti-codon, and T loops).
Source: RNAcentral
CACAGUGUAGCUUAAUAUUAAAGCAUCUGGCCUACACCCAGAAGAAUUCAUAAAUAUGAACACUUUGA